Molecule: ribosomal RNA, 379 nt
Filed under: uncultured microorganism
Description: bacterial SSU rRNA
Rfam family: Bacterial small subunit ribosomal RNA
Source: RNAcentral
GAGUUUGAUCAUGGCUCAGGAUGAACGCUGGCGGCGUGCCUAAUACAUGCAAGUCGAGCGAACGGACGAGAAGCUUGCUUCUCUGAUGUUAGCGGCGGACGGGUGAGUAACACGUGGAUAACCUACCUAUAAGACUGGGAUAACUUCGGGAAACCGGAGCUAAUACCGGAUAAUAUUUUGAACCGCAUGGUUCAAAAGUGAAAGACGGUCUUGCUGUCACUUAUAGAUGGAUCCGCGCUGCAUUAGCUAGUUGGUAAGGUAACGGCUUACCAAGGCAACGAUGCAUAGCCGACCUGAGAGGGUGAUCGGCCACACUGGAACUGAGACACGGUCCAGACUCCUACGGGAGGCAGCAGUAGGGAAUCUUCCGCAAUGGGCG